RNAcentral lists this ribosomal RNA (907 nucleotides) under uncultured Bacteroidota bacterium. RNAcentral describes it as "bacterial SSU rRNA". It matches the Rfam family "Bacterial small subunit ribosomal RNA", at positions 1 to 904 of the family's 1533-position model. Lineage: Bacteria; Pseudomonadati; Bacteroidota. The record is from RNAcentral.
GGAUCCAGACUUUGAUCCUGGCUCAGGAUGAACGCUAGCGACAGGCUUAACACAUGCAAGUUGAGGGGCAGCGAGGGAGUGGCAACACUUCUGUCGGCGACCGGCGCACGGGUGAGUAACGCGUAUGCAACCUGCCCUUCACAGGGGGAUAACCGGGAGAAAUUCCGACUAAUACCGCAUACGUCCUCCGGGGGCAUCCCCGGGGGAUGAAAGAAUUAUCGGUGAAGGAUGGGCAUGCGUGAUAUUAGGUAGUUGGCGGGGCAACGGCCCACCAAGCCCACGAUAUCUAGGGGUUCUGAGAGGAAGGUCCCCCACAUUGGUACUGAGACACGGACCAAACUCCUACGGGAGGCAGCAGUGAGGAAUAUUGGUCAAUGGACGAGAGUCUGAACCAGCCAAGUCGCGUGAAGGAAGACGGAUCUAUGGUUUGUAAACUUCUUUAGUGCGGGAGCAAAGCGGCGUCGAGACGCCUGAUGAGUGUACCGCAAGAAUAAGCAUCGGCUAACUCCGUGCCAGCAGCCGCGGUAAUACGGAGGAUGCGAGCGUUAUCCGGAUUUAUUGGGUUUAAAGGGAGCGCAGGCUGCGAGGCAAGUCAGCGGUCAAAUGUCGGGGCUCAACCCCGGCCUGCCGUUGAAACUGUCCUGCUAGAGUUCGAGUGAGGUAUGCGGAAUGCGUUGUGUAGCGGUGAAAUGCAUAGAUAUGACGCAGAACUCCGAUUGCGAAGGCAGCAUACCAACUCGCGACUGACGCUGAGGCUCGAAAGCGUGGGUAUCGAACAGGAUUAGAUACCCUGGUAGUCCACGCAGUAAACGAUGAAUACUAACUGUUCGGAGGGCGACCUUUGAGUGGUAAAGCGAAAGCGUUAAGUAUUCCACCUGGGGAGUACGCCGGCAACGGUGCAACUCAA